RNAcentral lists this ribosomal RNA (1486 nucleotides) under metagenome. RNAcentral describes it as "bacterial SSU rRNA". It matches the Rfam family "Bacterial small subunit ribosomal RNA". The record is from RNAcentral.
AGAGUUUGAUCAUGGCUCAGGAUGAACGCUAGCUACAGGCUUAACACAUGCAAGUCGAGGGGCAGCAUGGUCUUAGCUUGCUAAGGCCGAUGGCGACCGGCGCACGGGUGAGUAACACGUAUCCAACCUGCCGUCUACACUUGGACAGCCUUCUGAAAGGAAGAUUAAUACAAGAUGGCAUCAUGAGUCCGCAUGUUCACAUGAUUAAAGGUAUUCCGGUAGACGAUGGGGAUGCGUUCCAUUAGAUAGUAGGCGGGGUAACGGCCCACCUAGUCUUCGAUGGAUAGGGGUUCUGAGAGGAAGGUCCCCCACAUUGGAACUGAGACACGGUCCAAACUCCUACGGGAGGCAGCAGUGAGGAAUAUUGGUCAAUGGGCGAGAGCCUGAACCAGCCAAGUAGCGUGAAGGAUGACUGCCCUAUGGGUUGUAAACUUCUUUUAUAAAGGAAUAAAGUCGGGUAUGCAUACCCGUUUGCAUGUACUUUAUGAAUAAGGAUCGGCUAACUCCGUGCCAGCAGCCGCGGUAAUACGGAGGAUCCGAGCGUUAUCCGGAUUUAUUGGGUUUAAAGGGAGCGUAGAUGGAUGUUUAAGUCAGUUGUGAAAGUUUGCGGCUCAACCGUAAAAUUGCAGUUGAUACUGGAUAUCUUGAGUGCAGUUGAGGCAGGCGGAAUUCGUGGUGUAGCGGUGAAAUGCUUAGAUAUCACGAAGAACCCCGAUUGCGAAGGCAGCCUGCUAAGCUGCAACUGACAUUGAGGCUCGAAAGUGUGGGUAUCAAACAGGAUUAGAUACCCUGGUAGUCCACACGGUAAACGAUGAAUACUCGCUGUUUGCGAUAUACAGCAAGCGGCCAAGCGAAAGCGUUAAGUAUUCCACCUGGGGAGUACGCCGGCAACGGUGAAACUCAAAGGAAUUGACGGGGGCCCGCACAAGCGGAGGAACAUGUGGUUUAAUUCGAUGAUACGCGAGGAACCUUACCCGGGCUUAAAUUGCAGAUGAAUUACGGUGAAAGCCGUAAGCCGCAAGGCAUCUGUGAAGGUGCUGCAUGGUUGUCGUCAGCUCGUGCCGUGAGGUGUCGGCUUAAGUGCCAUAACGAGCGCAACCCUUGUUGUCAGUUACUAACAGGUCAUGCUGAGGACUCUGACAAGACUGCCAUCGUAAGAUGUGAGGAAGGUGGGGAUGACGUCAAAUCAGCACGGCCCUUACGUCCGGGGCUACACACGUGUUACAAUGGGGGGUACAGAGGGCCGCUACCACGCGAGUGGAUGCCAAUCCCAAAAACCUCUCUCAGUUCGGACUGGAGUCUGCAACCCGACUCCACGAAGCUGGAUUCGCUAGUAAUCGCGCAUCAGCCACGGCGCGGUGAAUACGUUCCCGGGCCUUGUACACACCGCCCGUCAAGCCAUGGGAGCCGGGGGUACCUGAAGUGCGUAACCGCGAGGAGCGCCCUAGGGUAAAACUGGUGACUGGGGCUAAGUCGUAACAAGGUA